AACCUAGAGACGGGCCGAGGCGGCUCUUCGCCCGGAUGCGAGAGCCACCAAGGGGAAGCCGGUGACCGCACACGCGGAAGUCCGGCGCUGUCCCGCAACUGUGAGGGUCGCCCGCCCAGCGGCGUGACCCAAGCCAGGAUACCCACCUCCGCCCGGCGCUGAGA
This 164-nucleotide non-coding RNA is filed under the name Chloroflexota bacterium. Lineage: Bacteria; Bacillati; Chloroflexota. The record is from RNAcentral.